This 464-nucleotide ribosomal RNA is filed under the name uncultured bacterium. RNAcentral describes it as "bacterial SSU rRNA". It matches the Rfam family "Bacterial small subunit ribosomal RNA", at positions 330 to 792 of the family's 1533-position model. The record is from RNAcentral.
CCCAGACUCCUACGGGAGGCAGCAGUGAGGAAUAUUGGUCAAUGGGCUUACGCCUGAACCAGCCAAGUCGCGUGAGGGAUGACGGUCCUAUGGAUUGUAAACCUCUUUUGUCAGGGAGCAAAGGGCGCCACGUGUGGCGUUUUGCGAGUACCUGAAGAAAAAGCAUCGGCUAACUCCGUGCCAGCAGCCGCGGUAAUACGGAGGAUGCGAGCGUUAUCCGGAUUUAUUGGGUUUAAAGGGUGCGCAGGCGGAAUGUCAAGUCAGCGGUAAAAUUUCGGGGCUCAACCCCGUCGUGCCGUUGAAACUGGCGUUCUUGAGUGAGCGAGAAGUAUGCGGAAUGCGUGGUGUAGCGGUGAAAUGCAUAGAUAUCACGCAGAACCCCGAUUGCGAAGGCAGCAUGCCGGCUUCCGACUGACGCUGAAGCACGAAAGCGUGGGGAUCGAACAGGAUUAGAUACCCCAGUA